This 253-nucleotide ribosomal RNA is filed under the name uncultured bacterium. RNAcentral's name for it is "partial 16S ribosomal RNA". It matches the Rfam family "Bacterial small subunit ribosomal RNA", at positions 524 to 776 of the family's 1533-position model. The record is from RNAcentral.
UACGUAGGGUGCGAGCGUUAUUCGGAAUUACUGGGCGUAAAGGGCGCGUAGGCGGCGUCGCAAGUCAGGCGUGAAAUCCCCGGGCUUAACCUGGGAACUGCACUUGAAACUACGAUGCUGGAGUAUGGCAGAGGGAGGUGGAAUUCCACGUGUAGCGGUGAAAUGCGUAGAGAUGUGGAGGAACACCGAUGGCGAAGGCAGCCUCCUGGGCCAAUACUGACGCUCAUGCACGAAAGCGUGGGGAGCAAACAGG